This 56-nucleotide transfer RNA is filed under the name Ovis aries (sheep). It matches the Rfam family "tRNA", at positions 9 to 63 of the family's 71-position model. From Rfam's summary of the family: Transfer RNA (tRNA) molecules are approximately 80 nucleotides in length. The record is from Rfam by way of RNAcentral. Lineage: Eukaryota; Metazoa; Chordata; Mammalia; Artiodactyla; Bovidae.
AGUCUAGUGCUUAGGAUUCAGCACUUUCACUGCUGGGACCCAGGUUCAAUCCCUGG